Molecule: long non-coding RNA, 1402 nt
Organism: Sapajus apella (tufted capuchin)
Lineage: Eukaryota; Metazoa; Chordata; Mammalia; Primates; Cebidae
Exons: 4
Source: RefSeq, a predicted model, not a curated record
CCAAGGCUUUGGGGACUAGGCCGGGCCCCUGCACCGGAAGGGAGGGCGGAAGCCAAGGGGCGUGGAGCGGGGCGUGAGAGUGGUGGGUAGGCGGCCGCGGGGGAUGGCCUGAAGAAAAACUGCGAGUGAGUCGCCCCGCGGGGUAGAAGUACCUGGAUCCAGGCGCCUCGUCUGGGAAGAACGAGGUUAGAAAGAACGAGUUAGAGGGAAGAAAAUAGCGCCCUCUUAUGACGGAGGGAGAUCUGAAUUGAGGGGAGAAGGCUGAGGUGCACCGAAGUGGCGGCGGCGCUGAGGUCAGCCUGAGCUGAGAGGGCAGGCAGAUCAACCCUCAACCGAAGUGAACGAACUCGAGUGAGCUCUUCUCUUCUUCAGGAAAUUACUCCAGGAUUUGAAUCGUCACAAGAGAUUCACCAGAGGAUUUUAUACACAUGGGCUGUGGCAGCAGAUUAUACCACAACACCAGGUGACCAAAGCAUUAUUCACUGUCCACAGAUGAGUGUACACCUGUACCACAAGCUACUCCUCCUUCCUGGCUGAGAGGACCUCAAGGUGUACUGCUAAAAAUUCUGCCCUCUGGGAGUUUCUUCACCGUUUCCCUUCAGCAGCAUCUUUGAGACUCUGCAGUGCCAUUACUGUUAUAUAUGAAGUGUCCAUUUAUGUGUGAGUCAUUGCAUAUCUUGGUUAUACUCCAUUGAUUUAUUUGUCAAUUUCUGUGACAAUGUCAUAUGUCUUUAUCAUUUUACUUUAUAAUCAUUAUUAAUAUUUAGUACAGCAAGAAUUCCCAUCUUAUUUUUUAAAAGAGUGUUUUGGAUAUUCUUGGCCUUUAAAUUUUCCAUAAAGUUUAAAGUUAGUCUGUCAGAUUCUAUCAAAAUACCCUAUUGGGAAUAUUUACUGGGAUUGAACUGAAUCAUUAAGUCAUUUUAGAGUGAACUGACAUUUUUAUACUAUUGGACCUUCCAAUUCACCAUUUACAUCAGUCUUUAGUGUCUUUGAAUAGACAUAAAAGUCUUAUAUAUCUUUUGAUAUAUUUGUUUGUAGAUACUUGAGUUUUUUAGGCUAAAAAGUCAUCUUUAAAAAAUUAUUUGCCAACAAUUUAUGGCUGGUGUUUGGAAAUGUAGCUACUUUUGUCAUAUUGAUUCUUCAUCUAGGGAUUUUGCUAAAUGCUCUUAUAAUUCUAAUAAAUCUCUUUUCCCUACAUAUAUAAUUUACCAUCUGCAGAUAAUUAUACCAUUCACUUAUUUUUCUUAUCCUUCAUGUACUAGUUAGAAAUUGUAAUACAACAUAGAAUAGAAAUGGGGAUAUUGGGCACCCUUUAAUUGUUCCUGACUUUAGAGGAAAAGCUUUUGACAUAAACCAUUAAUUUUCUUUGGUUUUCUAUAGAUACUUUUUAUUAGAUUAGGAA